RNAcentral lists this unclassified non-coding RNA (360 nucleotides) under soil metagenome. RNAcentral's name for it is "partial contains 5.8S ribosomal RNA, internal transcribed spacer 2, and large subunit ribosomal RNA". The stretch from base 1 to 120 matches the Rfam family "5.8S ribosomal RNA", at positions 35 to 154 of the family's 154-position model. The record is from RNAcentral.
GAUGAAGAACGUAGCGAAAUGCGAUAAGUAAUGCGAAUUGCAGAAUUCAGUGAAUCAUCGAAUCUUUGAACGCACAUUGCGCCCGCCAGUAUUCUGGCGGGCAUGCCUGUCUGAGCGUCGUUUCGACCCUCGCGCCCGGCUUCUGUCGGGGGCGGUGUUGGGGAUUGGCCACACCCUUCAGUGGGAGGCCGGCCCCUAAAUUCAGUGGCGACCACGCUGUAGCCUCCCCUGCGUAGUACUAAAACCACCUCGCAGGCGGAGAGCGGUGCGGCCCGCCGUAAAACCCCCCAACUUUUACAAGGUCGACCUCAGAUCAGGUAGGAAUACCCGCUGAACUUAAGCAUAUCAAUAAGCGGAGGA